Molecule: ribosomal RNA, 274 nt
Filed under: uncultured bacterium
Lineage: Bacteria
Description: partial 16S ribosomal RNA
Rfam family: Bacterial small subunit ribosomal RNA
Source: RNAcentral
AUACGGAGGGUGCAAGUGUUAAUCGGAAUUACUGGGCGUAAAGCGUACGUAGGCGGUCCGUUAAGUUAGAUGUGAAAGCCCCGGGCUUAACCUGGGAACUGCAUUUAAAACUGGCGAACUAGAGUUGAGUAGAGGGGAGUGGAAUUUCAGGUGUAGCGGUGAAAUGCGUAGAGAUCCGAAGGAACACCAGUGGCGAAGGCGACUGCCUGGACUCGAACUGACGCUGAGGUACGAAAGCGUGGGUAGCAAACGGGAUUAGAAACCCUAGUAGUCC